RNAcentral lists this transfer RNA (72 nucleotides) under Clostridiales bacterium. Its description in RNAcentral is "tRNA-Glu". It matches the Rfam family "tRNA". Rfam says of the family: Transfer RNA (tRNA) molecules are approximately 80 nucleotides in length. Their secondary structure includes four short double-helical elements and three loops (D, anti-codon, and T loops). The record is from RNAcentral. Lineage: Bacteria; Bacillati; Bacillota; Clostridia; Eubacteriales.
GACCUCUUGGUCAAGUGGUUAAGACAUCGCCCUUUCACGGCGGUAACACGGGUUCGAAUCCCGUAGAGGUCA